UUAAUUGAAGAGUUUGAUCAUGGCUCAGAUUGAACGCUGGCGGCAGGCCUAACACAUGCAAGUCGAGCGGUAACAGAAAGAAAGCUUGCUUUCUUUGCUGACGAGCGGCGGACGGGU
RNAcentral lists this ribosomal RNA (117 nucleotides) under Photobacterium phosphoreum. RNAcentral's name for it is "partial 16S ribosomal RNA". It matches the Rfam family "Bacterial small subunit ribosomal RNA", at positions 1 to 107 of the family's 1533-position model. The record is from RNAcentral. RNAcentral also lists the same sequence under 2 other names. Lineage: Bacteria; Pseudomonadati; Pseudomonadota; Gammaproteobacteria; Vibrionales; Vibrionaceae.